UGGGGAAUAUUGCACAAUGGGGGAAACCCUGAUGCAGCAACGCCGCGUGAGUGAUGACGGUCUUCGGAUUGUAAAGCUCUGUCUUUAGGGACGAUAAUGACGGUACCUAAGGAGGAAGCCACGGCUAACUACGUGCCAGCAGCCGCGGUAAUACGUAGGUGGCAAGCGUUGUCCGGAUUUACUGGGCGUAAAGGGAGCGUAGGCGGUUUCUUAAGUGGGGUGUGAAAUAUCCGGGCUUAACCUGGGUGCUGCAUUCCAAACUGGGAAUCUAGAGUGCAGGAGGGGAGAGUGGAAUUCCUAGUGUAGCGGUGAAAUGCGUAGAGAUUAGGAAGAACACCAGUGGCGAAGGCGACUCUCUGGACUGUAACUGACGCUGAGGCGCGAAAGCGUGGGGAGCAAACA
Molecule: ribosomal RNA, 402 nt
Filed under: uncultured prokaryote
Description: bacterial SSU rRNA
Rfam family: Bacterial small subunit ribosomal RNA
Source: RNAcentral